RNAcentral lists this ribosomal RNA (497 nucleotides) under uncultured bacterium. RNAcentral describes it as "partial 16S ribosomal RNA". It matches the Rfam family "Bacterial small subunit ribosomal RNA", at positions 28 to 507 of the family's 1533-position model. The record is from RNAcentral.
GAUGAACGCUGGCGGCGUGCCUAAUACAUGCAAGUCGAGCGAACAGACGAGGAGCUUGCUCCUCUGACGUUAGCGGCGGACGGGUGAGUAACACGUGGAUAACCUACCUAUAAGACUGGGAUAACUUCGGGAAACCGGAGCUAAUACCGGAUAAUAUAUUGAACCGCAUGGUUCAAUAGUGAAAGACGGUUUUGCUGUCACUUAUAGAUGGAUCCGCGCCGCAUUAGCUAGUUGGUAAGGUAACGGCUUACCAAGGCGACGAUGCGUAGCCGACCUGAGAGGGUGAUCGGCCACACUGGAACGGAGACACGGUCCAGACUCCUACGGGAGGCAGCAGUAGGGAAUCUUCCUCAAUGGGCGAAAGCCUGACGGAGCAACGCCGCGUGAGUGAUGAAGGUCUUCGGAUCGUAAAACUCUGUUAUUAGGGAAGAACAAAUGUGUAAGUAACUAUGCACGUCUUGACGGUACCUAAUCAGAAAGCCACGGCUAACUACGUG